GUGCUCACUCUGGAGGCACAUAUACUCAAAUUGGAAAGAUACAGAGGAUAGCAUGGCCCCUGCCUGAAGAUGACAUGGAAAUUUGUGAAGUGUUCCAUAUCCUU
This is a non-coding RNA of Otolemur garnettii (small-eared galago), 104 nucleotides long. The record is from Rfam. NCBI's taxonomy places the organism in Eukaryota, Metazoa, Chordata, Mammalia, Primates, Galagidae.